GACGAACGCUGGCGGCGUGCUUAACACAUGCAAGUCGAACGGAAAGGCCCUGCCUUUGUGGGGUGCUCGAGUGGCGAACGGGUGAGUAACACGUGAGUAACCUGCCCCUGACUUUGGGAUAACUUCAGGAAACUGGGUCUAAUACCGGAUAGGAGCUCCGUCUGCAUGGUGGGGUUCGGAAAGUUUCGGCGGUUGGGGAUGGACUCGCGGCUUAUCAGCUUGUUGGUGGGGUAGUGGCUCACCAAGGCUAUGACGGGUAGCCGGCCUGAGAGGGUGACCGGCCACAUUGGGACUGAGACACGGCCCAGACUCCUACGGGAGGCAGCAGUGGGGAAUAUUGCACAAUGGGCGGAAGCCUGAUGCAGCAACGCCGCGUGCGGGAUGACGGCCUUCGGGUUGUAAACCGCUUUCGCCUGUGACGAAGCGAAAGUGACGGUAACGGGUGAAGAAGCACCGGCUAACUACGUG
This 468-nucleotide ribosomal RNA is filed under the name uncultured bacterium. Its description in RNAcentral is "partial 16S ribosomal RNA". It matches the Rfam family "Bacterial small subunit ribosomal RNA", at positions 28 to 507 of the family's 1533-position model. The record is from RNAcentral.